This 88-nucleotide transfer RNA is filed under the name Gammaproteobacteria bacterium. Its description in RNAcentral is "tRNA-Leu". It matches the Rfam family "tRNA". Rfam says of the family: Transfer RNA (tRNA) molecules are approximately 80 nucleotides in length. Their secondary structure includes four short double-helical elements and three loops (D, anti-codon, and T loops). Further hydrogen bonds mediate the characteristic L-shaped molecular structure. tRNAs have two regions of fundamental functional importance: the anti-codon, which is responsible for specific mRNA codon recognition, and the 3' end, to which the tRNAs corresponding amino acid is attached (by aminoacyl-tRNA synthetases). tRNAs cope with the degeneracy of the genetic code in two manners: having more than one tRNA (with a specific anti-codon) for a particular amino acid; and 'wobble' base-pairing, i.e. permitting non-standard base-pairing at the 3rd anti-codon position. Lineage: Bacteria; Pseudomonadati; Pseudomonadota; Gammaproteobacteria. The record is from RNAcentral. RNAcentral also lists the same sequence under 1 other name.
GCCCGGGUGGCGGAAUUGGUAGACGCAGCGGACUUAAAAUCCGCCGGUCAUUGCGACCGUGCCGGUUCAACUCCGGCCCUGGGCACCA